This 2582-nucleotide long non-coding RNA is filed under the name Strigops habroptila (Kakapo). Its description in RNAcentral is "lncRNA (ENSSHBG00005015185.1)". Lineage: Eukaryota; Metazoa; Chordata; Aves; Psittaciformes; Psittacidae. The record is from RNAcentral.
GUUGCGAAGCGCCCGUCCGGCUAGCUGCAGCCCGCAGCCGGGUCCCCUCGGGGGUACUCCCCCCAGAAGCCGGGCGGGAGCUGCCGCGGCGAGGUCCAGAGGGGGGACGAGCAUCAGGCUCCGCGCACGUCCACGGGUCCUGUUUAUAUCAGCGUAAGAUCUGCAGAUCACAGCAGGAGUUAACCACAGCAUUCCCAAAAGCUCUUAUGUGACUUAAGUCCAAGCUGGGUUCUGGAUGCUGCAAGGCUGUCAGGAUGCUGCAAAAGACAUUGUUGCAUCUUCUUACCGCAGAGUUGGAGAAGUUUCUCUGUGUGCAGGGAAUACAACAUGUAUGGACAGGAAACUGGUUUCCUUGGUUUGUGGUUUUCUUGUUGCUGUUCUUUUUUAAGGGAUUAACACUCUUAGUUUCAGGAAACUGAAACUAGAUUUGAACAGGGAUUGGAGGGAGGAGGCAGGGUGAAUCCCAUGCAAGAGUCAAAUUUGUCUUGUUUCUGGGAGAACUAAAUAAAGCUGAAUUCAAUUGCCAGUGGCUAAAUAACAGCAAUUUAUGAACUGUUCAUCAAAAGCCCCAGUCAAGCACUGAGUACUGUGAGAAGCUGGAAAUUGACGCUGGGCACCUCCAAAAGACUCCGUUGCUGAAACUUAUUUUAAACCUUUUUCAAGUGGAGGAUCUAGUCCUGGCAAAUGCAUAAAGUCAGCCCUUUUAAGAGCAAAUAGCUUUCUCUAGAGAAUCUAACAAGCAGCUAAAGUCUGUCCGUUUGUCUGCCUGUCUUUUGGCCUUGGAUUACUGUGCUAUUUCAAAGUGUGUUUUCAUAACUCAUAAGUGGUAGAUGUUUCACAUAGCUCUACAAGUAGUAAUCAUGUUUGUGCGUAAUAUCCAAUAUCUAAGGGAUGGGCCCAAACCAGAAGUAUUUCUUGUUUACCUAUGAAGUGUCCUGCUUUAGCGUAUGUACAGUCAGUUCUUGUGGUGAACAUGUGAGUCCAUUGCUGCUCUAAAGGAGGUAGUGACUUAGUUUCAGUGGCUGUAGAGAGUUUCACUGAAAUAGCACUAUUUGUAGUCUUUCAUGUGAUUUAGAAGGCACAAUAGCAAGACAGUUCUGAAAAUGUAAUAUAAUUGUUUGCAGAGUUCUAAGAAAAUGCUCUGAAGUCUUCUCCCAUUGUACCAUUGUGAUAAAAAACUGUUGCUUUUCAAGCUCCACAAGUCCAUGCUGUGUAGUGCUGAAACUGAUAGAAAACCCAAUUAGCACUGGAAAGUGAAGGGCAGAGUGGGCUACUCUGGCCUGGAAUCCCCUCCCUUUGGCAGUAGGAAAGGUCAGUCAUGCAGCCAAAUGCCUGUAACCAAACAUGGAUCCACCCUGUGUGUGUUGCCAGCUCUCUGCAUAGGAGAGUGGAAGGAUGGGUAGAAAGAAUGGAUUCUGGAAGGGGAGAGGCUGAGAGGAAGAGUGGAGUAAAAGAUACCCUGAGCAUGACAGCUGGGAUUUUCGGAAGGUACUCUGCUGGAUGCUGGGCAUCCAACUUCCCUAAGACUCUCUAUCAAUACACUCUCUACAUUUUCAUGAAUGGCUUUUGGCCUGUUUGUCAAUCCUCACAGUCAUUGUGUGAGGGAGAAGAGAUAGAAGGCAGCUCACUCUAAUUUGGCAGCUCUUGGCACCUGGAACAGUCUAGGACUGUAAUAUCUCCUCGUGGCUGUUGGCUGAGGGUCUGAUCCUCUGAUGAGCUGUGACUUCCUUACUACCAGUGACUCAAAACAGGUUUAUAGGACUGGGCUUACAGAAGGCCUAAGGUGCCAGAUCCAAAGAUGUUUUUGGAGCAGGUCUGCUUAGUAGUCCUCAGUAUGGAUAUGAGCACACAGUUCUUUGGAGGCAACAUUCACUCCACAUUCAUAUUGUUUGGGACUUUUCAGAGUGUAAGAUGCCUUUAGUAAGGUGUGAAUAUACUGCAGAAGUCUGUGGGUACCUUUCAGAUAUAUGGCAGGCAGGUCAGAGACUUUAGACCAUACUGUGUGCCAGCACAAACAGCAGGGAUGUUAGUUACAGGAUAGCUUUGCUUUUGCUGUGAAACCUUGCUGAAACGAUGCAUUAUCUCAAGGAAGACAGUUGGGAUUUGCAGGCCAGAUCAUGUGAAUAAAGAAUUGCAUAUCCCCUAUUGAAACUAGUCUGAUUUAUACAGGUAUGGUCCAAAAUUUCUGAGAAAUUGUGGAUGGUAGGGGUUUUUGUUUGUUUGUUGCACCGAAAACUUGAAGCCUUUCAAAUAAAGUAUGUGAGAUAAACAGAUGGAGCAUGUGCUUUAGGCUGUUUGCUGGAUUCAGACUUUGAGCAUACAAGUGCUUUGUAGACAAUACUACACAGUAGUAGAAGAGGUUAUUGGGCUUGGAAGUUGACCAAGGAGACAGGACUCAGCUGAGCUUUGAACAGCAAUCAUUGUCCGUUUUGGUGAUGCCAUAAUAUGUGCUUGACUCGAACCCAAUGUUGCACAGGCCAGAACGUGAUGAAACCACGUAACUAGAUAUUUGUGAUUGUUCCUACCAGUGUGAUCCACUGUUAAAUAGGCUAGACAUAUGAAUAAAAUCAAUAUUUUUUAAA